CUUUAAUAUUCUGUGCUAGAUUCACAGGGCUCUUCUACAGAUGCUAAGCGUUCAAUCCUGAAGGCUCCACUUCAUCAUCAGAACAAGUAUGUAAAGCUCUGAAUUUCAAAGCUGUGCUACCCUCAAACUCCUCUUCCAUGAAUAUUAAGGGACUUCAGAGGGAAAGGAAGAAAUGUUUUACUUAUUUUAGGUGUUUCAUGACAUUUCUAAGGCUUGAAGAAUUCAACACUUUACAGAAAUUCUUCCGGAUCAUCUAUGCCAGAAGUUCAUUCACACCGAGAUUUCAGCCAGCUGCAACAUCCUUGUCUUUCUGGAGUUAUUGUCUGUCUUAUUCAAGUGAAGACCAGAUGUGUGGAUCCUGAUGUCUCUUACACUUGAAUCAUCUCUAUUUGCAUUUUCAAGUGUCACAGAAAAACCUUCUCCUGUUUGAAGGCUUCUCAUUUCAAGCUUUCUUGAUUUCCACACUCAGGACAGAGGAAUGCUGUACCAUCUGCAGGCCUUGGGCACUUUGCCAGUAAAACUGCUGUCUGAAAUAAUUUCCAGCUUCACAUUGAAUUUUUCACAGAAAUAUGAG
This 574-nucleotide long non-coding RNA is filed under the name Junco hyemalis (dark-eyed junco). Its description in RNAcentral is "lncRNA (ENSJHYG00000010255.1)". Lineage: Eukaryota; Metazoa; Chordata; Aves; Passeriformes; Passerellidae. The record is from RNAcentral.